Molecule: long non-coding RNA, 333 nt
Organism: Hippocampus comes (tiger tail seahorse)
Lineage: Eukaryota; Metazoa; Chordata; Actinopteri; Syngnathiformes; Syngnathidae
Exons: 3
Source: RefSeq, a predicted model, not a curated record
CCGAGGGCGAUGUCAUUAUCGGAGUCGAUCGUCGUCCAGGGCCGACCUUGGUGAUAGGUCAUUGCAUCACCUAGGGAACGACAAGGACAGACGCGAUUGAUCUACUGUUAAGAUGUAGCCCUCAAUGUCAGCCAAAGGAGCGGCCCAGGUCAACCGAGCUGACUCCGUGGUGACAUCCAAAGCCUGCAAGUCCUUUGGAGCGUCAAUGUCUGUCAGUUGGAUCACAGCAAACGACAAGUGAAUGCUCAUUCAUGCCGAUGUAGACAGUGUAGACGACACCGGGCCUCAAACCACUCAGACUGUGAGAAUCACUCCUGGGAUCAACACGGAUUU